CCCUUAGAUGUUCUGGGCCGCACGCGUAUUACAAUGGCGUCGUCAAUUGGCAACAAAACUCCUGUAAAAGGGAGUGGUAUCCCAUUAAUUGACGUCAAACUUGGGAUUGGCUAUUGGAAUUAUUGGCCUUGAACGAGGAAUUCCUUGUAAUUGCAAAUCAUCAGUUUGCGAUGAAUACGUCCCUGCCCUUUGUACACACCGCCCGUCGCUACUACCGAUUGAACGUUUUAGUGAGGUAUUUGGACUGGACCUUCGGAGGUUCGCGCCUCCGUUGCUGUUCGGGAAGACUCCCAAACUUGAGCGUUUAGAGGAAGUAAAAGUCGUAACA
This 328-nucleotide ribosomal RNA is filed under the name uncultured eukaryote. Its description in RNAcentral is "partial 18S ribosomal RNA". It matches the Rfam family "Eukaryotic small subunit ribosomal RNA", at positions 1470 to 1796 of the family's 1831-position model. The record is from RNAcentral.